AUUGAACGCUGGCGGCAGGCCUAACACAUGCAAGUCGAGCGAGAGUCGGACGGGUGAGUAAUGUAUGGGGACUGCCCGUUAGAGGGGGGGAACCACUGGCAAAGCGAGCUAAUACAGCAUACUAUCGGAUAACCCAUAUGGGAUUAGCUGGUAGGGGAGGUAAUGGCCCACCUAAGCGACGAUCCCUAGAUGGUCUGAGAGGAUGAUCAGCCACACUGGAACUGAGACACGGCCCAGACUCCUACGGAGGCAGCAGUGGGGAAUAUUGCACAAUGGGCGCAAGCCUGAUGCAGCCAUGCCGCGUGUAUGAAGAAGGCCCUAGGGUUGUAAAGUACUUUCAGUCGGGAGGCGUUACCGACAGAAGAAGCACCGGCUAACUCCGUGCCAGCAGCCGCGGUAAUAC
This 403-nucleotide ribosomal RNA is filed under the name uncultured bacterium. RNAcentral describes it as "partial 16S ribosomal RNA". It matches the Rfam family "Bacterial small subunit ribosomal RNA", at positions 30 to 526 of the family's 1533-position model. The record is from RNAcentral.